This 253-nucleotide ribosomal RNA is filed under the name uncultured bacterium. RNAcentral's name for it is "partial 16S ribosomal RNA". It matches the Rfam family "Bacterial small subunit ribosomal RNA", at positions 524 to 776 of the family's 1533-position model. The record is from RNAcentral.
UACCGAGGUCUCGAGCGUUAGGCGGAAUCACUGGGCUUAAAGCGUGUGUAGGCGGGUCGUUAAGUGCCUUGUGAAAUCCCAUGGCUCAACCAUGGAACUGCUGGGCAUACUGGCGAUCUUGUGCCACCUAGGGGCGAGCGGAACAGAUGGUGGAGCGGUGAAAUGCGUAGAUAUCAUCUGGAACGCCAAUGGUGAAAACAGCUCGCUGGGGGUGUGCAGACGCUGAGACACGAAAGCCAGGGGAGCGAACGGG